AUCGCCUUUCUGAAUGAAGAGCCCUCUUCACUGCCCCACCCUCACCUUAGAAUUCUCUCCUCUUUCCAAAGAAUGGCAGUUGAACCUCACUGGCCCCUCUGGGGAGGCUGGGGGCUACUCCUGCAUUUUUUCCCCUCCAUUACAGUCUCCCUGCUUCACCUUCACCAGGCGGCUUUACUUACCUACCCCUGGGAAAAGAGGAGAUAAUGGCCUUAAUAUGUCCAAAAACCACACCCUGACUACCCAAGAAUUAGCUCUUACCAUCACCCUUUCUCUUCUCUCACUUUCCUAGGGGGUGCUGGGUGGUGUCUCCUUGGGGGAAAGAAAUGACUAGGUGGGGGGGAAGGGAAUAUUUGUAACCAUAUUCCCAUCUCUGCUUUCCCAACCUCUCCAAGUGAGACUGAGGGUGUGCCCAGUACUGCCAUCCGAGAGAUCUCUCUGCUUAAGGAGCUUAACCAUCCUAAUAUUGUCAAGCUGCUGGAUGUCAUUCACACAGAAAAUAAACUCUACCUGGUUUUUGAAUUUCUGCACCAAGAUCUCAAGAAAUUCAUGGAUGCCUCUGCUCUCACUGGCAUUCCUCUUCCCCUCAUCAAGAGCUAUCUGUUCCAGCUGCUCCAGGGCCUAGCUUUCUGCCAUUCUCAUCGGGUCCUCCACCGAGACCUUAAACCUCAGAAUCUGCUUAUUAACACAGAGGGGGCCAUCAAGCUAGCAGACUUUGGACUAGCCAGAGCUUUUGGAGUCCCUGUUCGUACUUACACCCAUGAGGUGGUGACCCUGUGGUACCGAGCUCCUGAAAUCCUCCUGGGCUGCAAAUAUUAUUCCACAGCUGUGGACAUCUGGAGCCUGGGCUGCAUCUUUGCUGAGAUGGUGACUCGCCGGGCCCUAUUCCCUGGAGAUUCUGAGAUUGACCA
RNAcentral lists this small RNA (911 nucleotides) under Pan troglodytes (chimpanzee). RNAcentral's name for it is "processed transcript". The record is from RNAcentral. Lineage: Eukaryota; Metazoa; Chordata; Mammalia; Primates; Hominidae.